This 387-nucleotide ribosomal RNA is filed under the name uncultured bacterium. RNAcentral's name for it is "bacterial SSU rRNA". It matches the Rfam family "Bacterial small subunit ribosomal RNA", at positions 28 to 417 of the family's 1533-position model. The record is from RNAcentral.
GACGAACGCUGGCGGCGUGCUUAACACAUGCAAGUCGAGCGGUAAGGCCCUUUCGGGGGUACACGAGCGGCGAACGGGUGAGUAACACGUGGGUGACCUGCCCUCAGCUCUGGGAUAAGCCUGGGAAACUGGGCCUAAUACUGGAUAUGACUCCACGGUGCAUGUCGUGGGGUGGAAAGCCUUGUGCGGCUGAGGAUGGGCCCGCGGCCUAUCAGCUUGUUGGUGGGGUGANGGCCUACCAAGGCGACGACGGUAGCCGGCCUGAGAGGGCGACCGGCCACACUGGGACUGAGACACGGCCCAGACUCCUACGGGAGGCAGCAGUGGGGAAUCUUGCGCAAUGGGCGAAAGCCUGACGCAGCGACGCCGCGUGAGGGAUGACGGCCU